UUAAUACUCCCUCCGUCCGAAAAUACUUGUCCUCGAAAUGGAUGUAUCUAGACUUAUUUUAGUUAUAGAUACAUCCAUUUCAUCCAUUUCUAGGACAAGUAAGUCUAGAUACAUCCAUUUCGAGGACAAGUAUUCUCGGACGGAGGGAGUAAUAA
This is a non-coding RNA of Triticum urartu, 155 nucleotides long. Lineage: Eukaryota; Viridiplantae; Streptophyta; Magnoliopsida; Poales; Poaceae. The record is from Rfam.